UACGAAGGGUGCAAGCGUUACUCGGAAUUACUGGGCGUAAAGCGUGCGUAGGUGGUGAGUUAAGUCUGUCGUGAAAGCCCCGGGCUCAACCCGGGAAGUGCACUCGAUACUGCCGAGCUAGAGUAUCGGAGAGGUUGGUGGAAUUCUCGGUGUAGAGGUGAAAUUCGUAGAUAUCGAGAGGAACACCGGUGGCGAAGGCGGCCAACUGGACGAAUACUGACGC
RNAcentral lists this ribosomal RNA (223 nucleotides) under uncultured bacterium. RNAcentral's name for it is "partial 16S ribosomal RNA". It matches the Rfam family "Bacterial small subunit ribosomal RNA", at positions 524 to 746 of the family's 1533-position model. The record is from RNAcentral.